RNAcentral lists this ribosomal RNA (672 nucleotides) under uncultured bacterium. RNAcentral describes it as "bacterial SSU rRNA". It matches the Rfam family "Bacterial small subunit ribosomal RNA", at positions 465 to 1136 of the family's 1533-position model. The record is from RNAcentral.
AGCUGUGACGUUACUCGCAGAAGAAGGACCGGCUAACUCCGUGCCAGCAGCCGCGGUAAUACGGAGGGUCCGAGCGUUAAUCGGAAUUACUGGGCGUAAAGCGUACGCAGGCGGUUUGUUAAGCGAGAUGUGAAAGCCCCGGGCUCAACCUGGGAACUGCAUUUCGAACUGACAAACUAGAGUUUUGUAGAGGGUGGUAGAAUUUCAGGUGUAGCGGUGAAAUGCGUAGAGAUCUGAAGGAAUACCAGUGGCGAAGGCGGCCACCUGGACAAUAACUGACGCUCAUGUACGAAAGCGUGGGGAGCAAACGGGAUUAGAUACCCCGGUAGUCCACGCCGUAAACGAUGUCAACUAGCCGACUGGCCCCUUGAGGGCUGGGUGGCGCAGCUAACGCAUUAAGUUGACCGCCUGGGGAGUACGGCCGCAAGGUUAAAACUCAAAUGAAUUGACGGGGGCCCGCACAAGCGGUGGAGCAUGUGGUUUAAUUCGAUGCAACGCGAAGAACCUUACCUACUCUUGACAUCCACAGAACUUCGCAGAGAUGCUUAGGUGCCUUCGGGAACUGUGAGACAGGUGCUGCAUGGCUGUCGUCAGCUCGUGUUGUGAAAUGUUGGGUUAAGUCCCGCAACGAGCGCAACCCCUAUCCUUAGUUGCCAGCACGUAAUGGUGGGA